RNAcentral lists this ribosomal RNA (253 nucleotides) under uncultured bacterium. Its description in RNAcentral is "partial 16S ribosomal RNA". It matches the Rfam family "Bacterial small subunit ribosomal RNA", at positions 524 to 776 of the family's 1533-position model. The record is from RNAcentral.
UACGUAGGGGGCAAGCGUUGUCCGGAUUUAUUGGGCGUAAAGAGCGUGUAGGCGGCCAGACAGGUCCGUUGUGAAAACUCGAGGCUCAACCUCGAGAUGUCGAUGGAAACCGUAUGGCUAGAGUCCGGAAGAGGAGAGUGGAAUUCCUGGUGUAGCGGUGAAAUGCGCAGAUAUCAGGAAGAACACCAAUGGCGAAGGCAGCUCUCUGGGACGGUACUGACGCUGAGACGCGAAAGCGUGGGGAGCGAACAGG